CACGUGGUAUCCUGUCUGAAUAUGGGGGGACCAUCCUCCAAGGCUAAAUACUCCUGACUGACCGAUAGUGAACCAGUACCGUGAGGGAAAGGCGAAAAGAACCCCGGCGAGGGGAGUGAAAAAGAACCUGAAACCGUGUACGUACAAGCAGUGGGAGCACGCUUAGGCGUGUGACUGCGUACCUUUUGUAUAAUGGGUCAGCGACUUAUAUUCUGUAGCAAGGUUAACCGAAUAGGGGAGCCGAAGGGAAACCGAGUCUUAACUGGGCGUUAAGUUGCAGGGUAUAGACCCGAAACCCGGUGAUCUAGCCAUGGGCAGGUUGAAGGUUGGGUAACACUAACUGGAGGACCGAACCGACUAAUGUUGAAAAAUUAGCGGAUGACUUGUGGCUGGGGGUGAAAGGCCAAUCAAACCGGGAGAUAGCUGGUUCUCCCCGAAAGCUAUUUAGGUAGCGCCUCGUGAAUUCAUCUCCGGGGGUAGAGCACUGUUUCGGCAAGGGGGUCAUCCCGACUUACCAACCCGAUGCAAACUGCGAAUACCGGAGAAUGUUAUCACGGGAGACACACGGCGGGUGCUAACGUCCGUCGUGAAGAGGGAAACAACCCAGACCGCCAGCUAAGGUCCCAAAGUCAUGGUUAAGUGGGAAACGAUGUGGGAAGGCCCAGACAGCCAGGAUGUUGGCUUAGAAGCAGCCAUCAUUUAAAGAAAGCGUAAUAGCUCACUGGUCGAGUCGGCCUGCGCGGAAGAUGUAACGGGGCUAAACCAUGCACCGAAGCUGCGGCAGCGACGCUGAUGCGUUGUUGGGUAGGGGAGCGUUCUGUAAGCCUGUGAAGGUGUGCUGUGAGGCAUGCUGGAGGUAUCAGAAGUGCGAAUGCUGACAUAAGUAACGAUAAAGCGGGUGAAAAGCCCGCUCGCCGGAAGACCAAGGGUUCCUGUCCAACGUUAAUCGGGGCAGGGUGAGUCGACCCCUAAGGCGAGGCCGAAAGGCGUAGUCGAUGGGAAACAGGUUAAUAUUCCUGUACUUGGUGUUACUGCGAAGGGGGGACGGAGAAGGCUAUGUUGGCCGGGCGACGGUUGUCCCGGUUUAAGCGUGUAGGCUGGUUUUCCAGGCAAAUCCGGAAAAUCAAGGCUGAGGCGUGAUGACGAGGCACUACGGUGCUGAAGCAACAAAUGCCCUGCUUCCAGGAAAAGCCUCUAAGCAUCAGGUAACAUCAAAUCGUACCCCAAACCGACACAGGUGGUCAGGUAGAGAAUACCAAGGCGCUUGAGAGAACUCGGGUGAAGGAACUAGGCAAAAUGGUGCCGUAACUUCGGGAGAAGG
This 1321-nucleotide ribosomal RNA is filed under the name Escherichia coli. RNAcentral describes it as "partial 23S ribosomal RNA". It matches the Rfam family "Bacterial large subunit ribosomal RNA", at positions 423 to 1746 of the family's 2925-position model. Lineage: Bacteria; Pseudomonadati; Pseudomonadota; Gammaproteobacteria; Enterobacterales; Enterobacteriaceae. The record is from RNAcentral.